Long non-coding RNA from Molossus molossus (Pallas's mastiff bat), 851 nucleotides. RefSeq lists it as uncharacterized. The transcript is spliced from 3 exons. NCBI's taxonomy places the organism in Eukaryota, Metazoa, Chordata, Mammalia, Chiroptera, Molossidae. The record is from RefSeq and is a predicted model, not a curated record.
GUGGCACGGGCGGGGGCACAUUCAGGAAGCCUCUCCCCCACACCCACUGCCUGCCUAAACUUCAGGCCCACAUAGGGCAUUGGCCCAAGGCUUCCUGUUUUGAGGUUGGAUUCCAAUGGCAGGGACCUGUACUGGGAAAAGGAAAAAGGUGGGGAACAGUAGGUGGGUAUCUUCCUGAAGGUGGACAGGGAGCCAGAGAAGCCAGGGGUUUUCCAAGAAGAAGGAUUCCUUCAGCACAAGGAAGGAAGAAGGGGCCAGAGGUGAAGUGUGAGACAGAGAUAAGAGACAUGCUGGGAAGUUGGAGGGAAAGGCAGCUGACGACUCUCACUGCUCAUCCACUCCUUGAACUUGAGCCAUCGAAAGAUCAAGUAAUAGCCAUGUGUGUGUGAGAGCUUCCACCCCUGCAUGCCUCAGGAGUCCAGAAGGCUGUGAACAAAGACGCUGUUCCCCCUACUUCUUAUGAGCAAAGAUGAUUAUUGCCACUGCAUGUGUGAGGGACUGGUAUCGCCCCCUUGGAGAGGAAAUUCAGUGAAGCAAGCAGGAGCCGCCAAUGGGAUACAUGCUUUGGUGACGGUCCCACAGGAAGUGGAGGCCCUCUGGCCAGAGUCCGGGUUGUCUGCUUCCAAAUGGAGAGUCUGCUGAAUGGCAAGCGAUGCUACCCCAAGCCUGCCUCAUGGUCACGUCUCAGCAAUGAGCUUAGCAAUUGGUUUAAAUAACCCUCAAGUCAGGCCCGUGUCUUCCACAAGAAAGAGGUUACGGGUUUUAUUCAUGUUAGGAAAACACCCAACCUUUCGAUGAAUUGGAACAAAAGGUACAUUAUUUUACUCUUUAUCUUCUCCCCUUGUACUGGA